AGGUGAAGAGGAGAAUAAUGUCCAGGCAGGGGCCAGGGGAGCUCGUGCCAAGGCACUGAGGGGAAGUGCUGCAAUGAACCUCAGAGGCUGGAUCUUGCUGACUCAUCUGGGGUACCAAGGACAGGUAAAGUACACGGAGCCCAGGCCCAGGAGGGGACACCAGGCCAGCAGUUUCACUGACGCUCUUGUCAUGAUGACGACUGCCUCCCUCCUCCCCUUGGUCCCUGACUCAGUGUCUGCAGUGACCAGGCACCAGGCAGGGAGCAAGGAACCAAGCCUUUCACCUGCUCCCACCAACUCCUAUGGUACUCCCUUUCCAAGGCUAGGUCUCCUCUCCACCCGGUUCCUUAUCACGUACCGUGAGAAGCUGUCACCUUGGCAACUGUCACCUUCUGGUGAGAUUUACAGUUGCACUGCUACAACUGCUUGUGGCAUGGUAAAGUUGCACCAGGACCUCUGCUGUCCAUGAGAUCAAAGUUCCAGGCCACGAGACAGGUCUCACUAUGUUGCCCAGGCUGGUCUCAAAUUCCUGGAUUCAAACAAUGCUCCUGCCUUGGAUUCUCAAAGUACCAGGAUUAUAGGCAUAAGCCACUGCGCCGGGCCCAAAACUAGCUUCGGAGUGGAAAAAUUUCUGCUGCCCCACCAGCUUCAGGAAGUGGGAGUCAACUCUAGUCACUGUGGUGAUGCAGAGAUAAUACGGCUGAUAAACCCCUUAUUUUUCUC
This 723-nucleotide long non-coding RNA is filed under the name Pongo abelii (Sumatran orangutan). RNAcentral describes it as "lincRNA". The record is from RNAcentral. Lineage: Eukaryota; Metazoa; Chordata; Mammalia; Primates; Hominidae.